GCUGGCGGCGUGCUUACACAUGCAAGUCGAACGAGAAAUCUUUAGCUUGCUAGAGAAAGUAAAGUGGCGCACGGGUGAGUAACGCGUGGGUAAUCCGCCUCCGAAUCGGGGAUAACAUUGCGAAAGCGAUGCUAAUACCGGAUAAAAUCUGGUUGGCUUCGGUGAACCGGAUCAAAGGUGGUCUCUUUAUAAAAGCUACCGUUUGGAGAUGAGCUCGCGUACCAUUAGCUAGUUGGUGAGGUAAAGGCUCACCAAGGCGACGAUGGUUAGCUGGUCUGAGAGGAUGAUCAGCCACACCGGAACUGGAACACGGUCCGGACUCCUACGGGAGGCAGCAGUGAGGAAUUUUGCGCAAUGGGGGAAACCCUGACGCAGCAACGCCGCGUGAGUGAUGAAGGCUUUCGGGUCGUAAAGCUCUGUCAGGUGGGAAGAACCCACCAAGUGUUAAGACCACUUGGUGCUGACGGUACCACCGAAGGAAGCACCGGCUAACUCCGUGCCAGCAGCCGCGGUAAUACGGGGGGUGCGAGCGUUAUUCGGAAUCAUUGGGCGUAAAGGGCGCGCAGGCGGUUUUGUAAGUCAGAUGUGAAAUCCCGGGGCUUAACCCCGGAAGUGCAUAUGAAACUAUGAGACUUGAGUAUGGGAGAGGGAAGCGGAAUUCCUGGUGUAGCGGUGAAAUGCGUAGAUAUCAGGAGGAACACCGGUGGCGAAGGCGGCUUCCUGGACCAAUACUGACGCUGAGGCGCGAAGGCGUGGGGAGCGAACAGGAUUAGAUACCCUGGUAGUCCACGCAGUAAACGUUGAUCACUAGGUGUAGCGGGUAUUGACCCCUGCUGUGCCGGAGUUAACGCAUUAAGUGAUCCGCCUGGGGA
RNAcentral lists this ribosomal RNA (872 nucleotides) under uncultured organism. Its description in RNAcentral is "bacterial SSU rRNA". It matches the Rfam family "Bacterial small subunit ribosomal RNA", at positions 35 to 879 of the family's 1533-position model. The record is from RNAcentral.